GACUACCGGGGUAUCUAAGCCUGUUCGCUCCCCACGCUUUCGUGCAUCAGCGUCAGUAACAGUUUAGUAAGCUGCCUUCGCAAUUGGUGUUCUGUGUAAUAUCUAAGCAUUUCACCGCUACACUACACAUUCCGCUUACCUCAAAUGUACUCAAGCUUUUCAGUAUCAAUGGCAAUUUUACCGUUAAGCGGCAAGAUUUCACCACUGACUUAAAAAGCCGCCUACGCACCCUUUAAACCCAAUGAAUCCGGAUAACGCUUGCAUCCUCCGUAUUACCGCGGCUGCUGGCACGGAGUUAGCCGAUGCUUAUUCAUACACUACCGUCGAGUCCCGACACGUCGGAAUUUUUCUUGGUGUAUAAAAGAAGUUUACGACCCAUAGGGCCUUCAUCCUUCACGCGGGAUGGCUGGUUCAGGCUUGCGCCCAUUGACCAAUAUUCCUCACUGCAGCCCCCCGUAGG
Molecule: ribosomal RNA, 460 nt
Filed under: uncultured Bacteroidota bacterium
Lineage: Bacteria; Pseudomonadati; Bacteroidota
Description: uncultured Bacteroidetes bacterium partial 16S ribosomal RNA
Source: RNAcentral